UACGGGGUGAGGCGAGCGUUGUCCGAAUCACUGGGCGUAAAGGGUGCGUAGGCGGGUCUUUAAGUCAGGGGUGAAAUCCUGGAGCUCAACUCCAGAACUGCCUUUGAUACUGAGGAUCUUGAGUUCGGGAGAGGUGAGUGGAACUGCGAGUGUAGAGGUGAAAUUCGUAGAUAUUCGCAAGAACACCAGUGGCGAAGGCGGCUCACUGGCCCGAUACUGACGCUGAGGCACGAAAGCGUGGGGAGCAAACAGG
This 253-nucleotide ribosomal RNA is filed under the name uncultured bacterium. RNAcentral's name for it is "partial 16S ribosomal RNA". It matches the Rfam family "Bacterial small subunit ribosomal RNA", at positions 524 to 776 of the family's 1533-position model. The record is from RNAcentral.